GUAUUAAUAUUCUUUUGACAUUGAUUUGGUAAGAAUACAGGUGAAUCUGUCAUCAAAUCUUUUGACAGUGACAAGAUGCUUUUGUCAAUUCACAUAAAGGUUCUUACCCUUAGCAACAAUGUCGACAGUAAAUACCUCCCUAAAACAAUGUUUAAAAUGUGGAAACAACUUUUAACCUUGAACGUAUAUGACACAGAAUUUACAAUUGACAUUCUAAGACAGGAUGGGAUCGAUUUGAGUUGGAAUCUUUGUUGAUUGAUAAGGGAGUUGUCGAGACAUCUUCCACUUUAUGCGGAAAUGAAUCUACUUAAAGGUAUUUUUCUACCUUUUUUAUGUCUUUUUUCUUUUGAUUAUUGCAAUAUUCUUUAUUGGUAUUACAUUGUUAGAACUUUAAGUAUAAUAUUAUAUGAGCGAAUAUUGUGAUUCUUCUUCUUAUCUUCUUGUAUUAUAUGUUUUUUUUAUAUUGU
Molecule: long non-coding RNA, 467 nt
Organism: Impatiens glandulifera
Lineage: Eukaryota; Viridiplantae; Streptophyta; Magnoliopsida; Ericales; Balsaminaceae
Exons: 3
Source: RefSeq, a predicted model, not a curated record